GCGUCUGUAGCCUAGUUGGUAAAGGCAGCACUCUAGUAUGUGUCUCAGUUUAGCUGAGGUCGUGAGUUCGACUCUCACCAGACACA
This 86-nucleotide transfer RNA is filed under the name Puccinia graminis f. sp. tritici CRL 75-36-700-3. RNAcentral's name for it is "tRNA-Thr for anticodon AGU". It matches the Rfam family "tRNA". From Rfam's summary of the family: Transfer RNA (tRNA) molecules are approximately 80 nucleotides in length. Their secondary structure includes four short double-helical elements and three loops (D, anti-codon, and T loops). Further hydrogen bonds mediate the characteristic L-shaped molecular structure. tRNAs have two regions of fundamental functional importance: the anti-codon, which is responsible for specific mRNA codon recognition, and the 3' end, to which the tRNAs corresponding amino acid is attached (by aminoacyl-tRNA synthetases). tRNAs cope with the degeneracy of the genetic code in two manners: having more than one tRNA (with a specific anti-codon) for a particular amino acid; and 'wobble' base-pairing, i.e. permitting non-standard base-pairing at the 3rd anti-codon position. Lineage: Eukaryota; Fungi; Basidiomycota; Pucciniomycetes; Pucciniales; Pucciniaceae. The record is from Rfam by way of RNAcentral.